ACUAAGGCCGAGUAUAGCUACAGAAGCAGCACAAGUAUCUUGGGUAUGAGAAGAAGCAUCACCCUUUAUGCAGACGUUCCCGUCUUCUCCAUCUUACUUGCGGCCAACUCCGACCAAUUCCCACCAUGGGGGCAACGUCUCAUCUUUAUAAAGGAGAAGAAGAAAGUCGUACAGACUCAACUUGAUCCUGCCCUUAGAGCAUUUACUAGGUCCUGCAUGAUGGUUUUCCUGAUAAUCCACUUCCAGGCC
RNAcentral lists this long non-coding RNA (249 nucleotides) under Brassica napus (rape). RNAcentral describes it as "long non-coding RNA (BNAP_LNC023428)". Lineage: Eukaryota; Viridiplantae; Streptophyta; Magnoliopsida; Brassicales; Brassicaceae. The record is from RNAcentral.